This 1274-nucleotide long non-coding RNA is filed under the name Musa acuminata (dwarf banana). Its description in RNAcentral is "long non-coding RNA (MACU_LNC006768)". The record is from RNAcentral. Lineage: Eukaryota; Viridiplantae; Streptophyta; Magnoliopsida; Zingiberales; Musaceae.
AUUUUUCCUGGGAAUUUUCCAGUUGAUGAAAAUGUUAAGAGGCCAGCUGCAGAGCUCUGGUAAAUAUCAACUUCAUCUUUCAGCAAUAGUUAAUUAACACCAUUCAUUGGCUGCCAUUGACUACAGUGAACAUGAGAAACAAAUUUGGAGAUCACACAGUGAAUUAGUUCUUUCUUGCAUCAUAAAGCCAUCGAUGUCUCAUAUGCGAGUAAAAUUCAGACAGCGGCCGAUCCUGUAAAAGCACAAGGUAUGGUAUGUAGUUAAGCAUAUGAAUCCUCAUUAUGGACUAUUUUUAGAUUUGCUUUAAUGUUUGCAUCAUCUUUUCUCCUUUUUUCUGUUCCUGUACAUUUUUACUCCUGUGCUAGAAGAUAUGAUUGUUUUGUAAAUGGUACGUGCAGUGUUAAAGUGUCACCUUUAACAAUCUGGAUAUUUCACAAUCCAAAAGCAUGUACAUCACAUACAUCAUAAUGGAACAUAGGACUAAUUUGCAGCUUCUUUAUGUCUCUCUAGACAAUGCCCUGAGCCACAAUUUCCAUGAGAAAGCACUUCAACUACCAUGAGAUGGUAGUCAAAGGUCUCCUGCAUGCACCUCACUUAACACCAGACAUAUGUUUCACACAAAUUUUGGUAGUCAAAGGUCUCCUGCAAAUUUUGGUUUGUAGUUGCUUCCUUUUGUUGGUGAUAUAGAGCAAAUAAUAUUUACAAUUGCAUAUUAUUAUGGAUUGAUAGUUGCCCAUUUUUUGCAGACAUGUGUUGAGCAUGAAAGUUUUGGCUUUAGUUUUGCCCAAGUCAGUAGUCUUGUGCAUCCCUAGUAUGUAAACUUCCUUGUAUCCAAUUUACUUGUAUGGCACUUCUUUUGGAACCCAAAGCCCCCCCAACUCCUGCACUUGCAUCACAAGGCUGUUUGGUAUAGAGAUCUGAUAGAAUAGUUCCAUAUGCAAAUGUAUGAUAUAAGAUGAGAAUUGAUAGGACUUUUGAGGAUUCCAGCAUUGCAAUUAUGUAAGCUUUGUCAUAAAGGUGACCAAUGUUUUUUAUUUUUCUGGCCUUGACUUCUUGACUUAGAGGGAGAGCAUACACCAAGCCAAUUCUGCCAUCCCCCUCAAUAGCUGGCAAUGUCCCCAGUGUCAGAAUAAGAUACCAGCAUACAUGGUCUUAGCAUAAAACAGACGUUUCAUGACCUGUUCUUAACUACUGUUUGAGGAUCCAAGAUGUUAUUUAUUACAUGUGUAAUAAUAAAUCAAAGUGAGUAGAGAAAAAUAAAAGGAAAAAAACAA